This is a long non-coding RNA of Nicotiana tabacum (common tobacco), 3438 nucleotides long. RefSeq lists it as uncharacterized. NCBI's taxonomy places the organism in Eukaryota, Viridiplantae, Streptophyta, Magnoliopsida, Solanales, Solanaceae. The record is from RefSeq and is a predicted model, not a curated record.
ACAACACAAGAAAUACUGGCGAGCUAAAGGCCCAAUAACCAUAGCCCCUUCUAAUACUAUUUUGGUUACUGCCAAGCAUCAGAAAAUUGGGCCUCUUCCAACUCAAGCCACCAUGGAGCAACCUAUUGAAGCAGACGAUGAAGUAGACUCUAAUUCAGAGCAGAGACUUCCUUUCUUAUGCAUGUCAAGACGAUUUCAGAGUUACAUCCACCCGAUGGGAUUUCAUAGGAGUAUAUGGGCCGCACAUUAAUCUGGAGAGGGAAAUCCUUUGGCAUGAACUUGGGGCUGUUAGAGGAAUAUAGGAUGUUCAAUGGGUAAUUGGUGGUGUCUUCAAUGUCUGUAGGUUUGAAAGUGAAAGAUACAAUUGUGUUAGAAGAUCCAGGGCAAUGAAGGUGUUCUCAUAUGCAAUCAAUGACAUAUGCUUAGUAGAUUUACCACUUCAUGGGGCGCAUUUUCACAUGGUCUAAAGAGGAGGAAAGCAUCCAAGCCUCAGGAAUAGACAAAUUUUUUAUCUCCUCUGAGUGGAAUGACACUUUCAAUAAUGUCAAGCAACUUGCUCUUCCAAAGGUCAUUUCUGAACACAUUUCUAUCCAACUGGAAAGUAGAUAUUGGGGAACUAAUCCUUCAUACAUUAAAUUUGAAAACAUGUGGCUAAGUAUUGAUGGAUUCUUGCAUAGAAUAAUGGCAUGGUGGCAAAGCUAUAAAGUAAAUGGCAGUCCAGACUUCAUUUUCACUCAGAAAUUGAAGCUACUCAAGAAAAAUAUUAUUACUUGGAAUAGGGAGGAUCUGGAGAAGUCAGAUGCAAAAAAGAACAAAAUUUUGGAGGACAUAUUCGUGAAACAACAGAUCACUUAAAGGGAGAUCCCAAUCCUUGGAAGAGAAAAAGAAUUUCGAGGGGUGAAAUAAAUAGCCAAAGUAGAAGAAGUAUCAUGGAGGAAAAUGUCUAGGUGCCUAUAGCUCAAACAGGGAGAUAGGAACACCAAAUUCUUCUACAAAGUUGCCAACUCUAAUAAAAGAUCAAAUUGCUUUGACAGGUUGAAAGAGGCAGUGACAUUACCGAAGAUAAGGACUUAAUCAAGAGUGAAAUCCUAGGAUUUUACCAUCAACGGUAUAAAGAAAAUGAGACUUCGAGGCCAACAACAAGACUGAAAGAUGUAGCAUCAAUCACAAGGGAAGAAAAAAAGUGGCUGGAAAGACCUUUUGAGGAGUCUUAGGUACUGGAAGCAAUCAUAUGAAGUGCUCCAGACAAAGCUCCAGGCCUAGACGGGUAUACUAUGGCAUUCUAUCAAAAAACAUGGGACGUGAUCAAACAUGACAUUGUGAGUGCUAUCCAAUAUUUCCACCAAACUGGACAGAUGGUAAGAUAAUAUAAUGCAUCAUUUAUAGCCCUAAUCCCUAAAAAGAAAGGGGAUGGGGAAAUUGAGAGAUUAUAGACCAAUCAGUCUAAUUGGCAGUGUAUACAUAGUUGUUUCCAAAAUCCUAGCAGAAAGGUUGAAGGGUGUGAUAGGAAAGUUGGUAUCACGACACCAGAAUGCUUUCAUAAAAUAAAGAUAGAUCACAGAUGUAACAUUGUUAGCUAAUGAGUUUCUAGAUUGGAAGUAAAAAUCAUGGCAGCCUGGUCACCUGUUCAAAUUAGAUACUGAAAAAGCCCUCGAUUAACUAAAUUGGUCAUAUCUCAUCACUAUUCUGAGGAAAAUAGUUUUGGAGAAGUCUGGAUUAGGUGGAUCAAAUUUAGUAUUAUCAUAGUUAAAUACUCUAUUUUGAUCAAUGUUGGGCCUGUUUCGCAUUUUCUCCUCAGAAAGGUCUCAGAGAAGGUGAUCCUCUCUCUCUCUCUCUAUUUCUGUUUAUCCUAGCUAUGGAGGAGAUUAGCAAAAUAAUUAACAAAGCAAAUAAGUUGCACUGGAUGGAAGGAUUUAGGGUGGGGAAUGAUGCACAUAACUCAGUAUCAGUCUCACAUCUUCUUUAUGCAUAUGACACUCUCAUAUUUUGUGGGGUUUAGGGAUCACAAGUAAUGUACUUGAACCUCACACGUAUGAUUUUUGUAGCCAUAUCAAGUUUACAAAUGAACAAGUCAAAAAGUACAAUUAUCGUGUUAAUGAUGUUCCUGAUUUGAAAGAGCUAUCUGAUAUAAUAUGUUAUAGUGUGGGAUCCUUCCCAACUACAUACCUAGGCCUACCAUUGGGAGCAUCAUACAAAUCACAAGGAAUCUGGAGUGGGGUUAUUGAGAAGUUUGAGAAAUGAUUGACCUCUUGGAAAAUGCAGUACCUCUCUAUGGGAGGUACAUUAACGCUUAUUAACACUGUGUUGGAUAGUAUUCCUACAUACUUUAUGUAAUUAUUCCCAAUUCUAGUUAAAGUGAAGAAGAGGCUAGAUCAAAUCAGAACAAACUUCUUAUGGAAUGGCAACAGUCAAAGUCAUAAAUUUUAUUUGGUUAAAUGGUCAAAGGUUAUUUUACCAAAGGAGCAUGGAGGAUUGGGUUUUAAAGAUUUGAUAUUACAUAAUAAGAGUAUGAUAAUGAAAUGGAAUUGGAGGUAUAAUUUAGAGGAUCCUGGUUUGUGAUUAAUGCUAAACAUAGUGUGAUGAACAACUGGUGCACAAAACUUAGCAGAUUACCUCAUGGUACAAGCUUAUAGAAACACAUAUCCAGUUUAUGGGAUGAGUUCCAACUCAACUCAAAACUCAAGUUAGUGAGUGGAACACUCAUCAAGGUUUGGAAAGACAAGUGGCUGGGAAUAAUGACACAAAAAGAUGAAUUUUACAGUGAAGAAAGCAUAUGCACACCUAUGCUGCAACAAUAAACUGAUAAAUAAUUGGCCAUGAAAACUAAUUUGGCGAACAAAACUGCCUCCUAAUGUGAUUUGUUUAAGAUGAGUUGGCUUAAAUGUAACUUUCCUCACAUAAGACAACCUCAGCAGAAAGAGUAUACCAAUAAUGAAUAGAUGCUAGAUAUGCAAUUUGGAUUCUAAAAGUGUCAGACAUGUCUUUUUGCAUUGUCGUUUAGCAUGUGAUAUUUGUAACAUGUUCCUCCCCAUUUUUGGACAAGCCUGGGUCAAGCCUAAUAGCAUCAAGGAAGCAUAUGAAUGUUGGUAUUCAUGGAGAGUUGGUAAAUCCAUCAACAAAUGGGUAAUGGUACCUGCUGCUAUCUUUUGGUGCAUCUGAAAUGAAAGGAAUCAUAGAUGCUUUGAUGGAAUCUCAACUCCGACUCAUGUAAUCAAAGAAAAAUUCUUAUUGAAUUUGGUUAGUUGGAUAAAUCAUGCACAUGUAACUAGUUGUGUUCAAUUUUUAAUUGUGUCUGCUCCUUAGUUAUAGAAUUGUUUUUUGUAUAUAUGAGCAGACACCAUCUCUCUUAAUUGUAGUCUUUUGCCUGCAUCCGUUGAAUGCUUUUAAGGAAUUCUUCUUACUUUAUCAAAAAAAAAUAAAAAAUCAUGUUCACUGAUA